CCUACGGGUGGCUGCAGUGAGGAAUAUUGGUCAAUGGGCGCGACCCUGAACCAGCCAAGUAGCGUGAAGGAUGACUGCCCUACGGGUUGUAAACUUCUUUUAUAAAGGAAUAAAGUGAGGCACGUGUUCCUUUUUGUAUGUACUUUAUGAAUAAGGAUCGGCUAACUCCAGGCCCGCAGCCGCGGUCAUACGGAGGAUCCGAGCUUUAUCCGGAUUUCUUGGGUGUAAAGGGAGCGUAGAUGGCUUGUUAAGUCAGUAGUGAAAGUUUGCGGCUCAACCGGAAAAUUGCAAUUGAUACUGGCAGUCUUGAGUACAGUUGAGGUAGGCGGAAUGCGUGGUGUAGCGGUGAAAUGCUUAGAUAUCACGAAGAACUCCGAUUGCGAAGGCAGCUUACUAAACUGCCACUGACAUUGAUGCUCGAAAGUGUGGGUAUCAAACAGGAUUAGAUACCCUUGUAGUC
Molecule: ribosomal RNA, 460 nt
Filed under: uncultured bacterium
Lineage: Bacteria
Description: partial 16S ribosomal RNA
Rfam family: Bacterial small subunit ribosomal RNA
Source: RNAcentral